RNAcentral lists this small nuclear RNA (356 nucleotides) under Myotis brandtii (Brandt's bat). Its description in RNAcentral is "7SK RNA". The stretch from base 1 to 295 matches the Rfam family "7SK RNA". From Rfam's summary of the family: 7SK was discovered as an abundant small nuclear RNA in the mid-70s but a possible function has only recently been suggested. Two independent studies have found that 7SK RNA binds the CDK9/cyclin T complex (known as elongation factor P-TEFb). P-TEFb activates transcription by phosphorylating the C-terminal domain of RNA polymerase II. The record is from Rfam by way of RNAcentral. Lineage: Eukaryota; Metazoa; Chordata; Mammalia; Chiroptera; Vespertilionidae.
GGAUGUGAGGGCGAUCUGGCUGCGACAUCUGUCACCCCAUUGAUCGCCAGGGUUGAUUCGGCUGAUCUGGCUGGCUAGGCGGGUGUCCCCCUCCUCCCUCACCGAUCCAUGUGCGUCCCUCCCGAAGCUGUGCGCUCGGUCGAAGAGGACAACCUUCCCCCCCGAGGAGAGGACCGGUCUUCGGUCAAGGGUAUACGAGUAGCUGCGCUCCCCUGCUAGAACCUCCAAACAAGCUCUCAAGAACGUCUUCUUGGUUACAUCCUUGGACAUUUUAAAAAAUAUUAUUUUUAUUGAUUUCUGAAGAGAGAAAGGGAGAGGGAGAGAGAGAAACAUCAAUGCAAGAGUGAAGCAUUGAU